CCUACGGGAGGCAGCAGUGGGGAAUAUUGCACAAUGGGGGAAACCCUGAUGCAGCGACGCCGCGUGAGUGAAGAAGUAUUUCGGUAUGUAAAGCUCUAUCAGCAGGGAAGAAAAUGACGGUACCGGAUUGAGAAGCCCCGGCUAACUACGUGCCAGCAGCCGAGGUAAUACGUAGGGGGCAAGCGCUAGCCGGAUUUACUGGGGGUAAAGGGAGCGUAGACGGCAGCACAAGUCUGGAGGGAAAUGCCGGGGCUUAACCCCGGAACUGCUUUGGAAACUGUGCAGCUAGAGUGCAGGAGAGGUAAGUGGAAUUCCUAGUGAAGCGGUGAAAUGCGUAGAUAUUAGGAGGAACACCAGUGGCGAAGGCGGCUUACUGGACUGUAACUGACGUUGAGGCUCGAAAGCGUGGGGAGCAAACAGGAUUAGAUACCCGUGUAGUC
RNAcentral lists this ribosomal RNA (440 nucleotides) under uncultured bacterium. Its description in RNAcentral is "partial 16S ribosomal RNA". It matches the Rfam family "Bacterial small subunit ribosomal RNA", at positions 338 to 795 of the family's 1533-position model. The record is from RNAcentral.